AAGCCCGAGACCAGGAUCAUGUCCUUCUUGCGGUCCACGAUCUUGGUGUAGCCGUCCGGCGACAUGAUGCCGAUAUCGCCGGUGCGGAAGUAGCCGUCGGCCGGUCAUCACCUUCGCGGUUUCUUCCGGCCGGUUCCAGUAACCCGCCAUCACCUGCGGACCCUUGGCGCAGAUUUCGCCGGGCUGGCCGAGCGGCACUUCGUUGCCGUCG
This 211-nucleotide unclassified non-coding RNA is filed under the name Hevea brasiliensis (rubber tree). Lineage: Eukaryota; Viridiplantae; Streptophyta; Magnoliopsida; Malpighiales; Euphorbiaceae. The record is from RNAcentral.